CCUGGGUGCACCACACUGCGGGAGCCUCCAAGUGUUCACCUAUCCAGAAGCUCCUCUGAAGGCUCUCCUUUUGGGUUGUUAUGGAGCCUUCAUUACAUAUGCAUGAUUGCUUAUAUUACUGGUCAUUGGUUACACUUUUAGAUAGGCUAAGUGGGUUUUUUGUUUGUUUGUUUGUUUUUGGUGAGACGAAGUCUCACUCUGUCACCCAGGCUGGAGUGCAAUGGCGCGAUCUCGGCUCAUUGCAACCUCCGCCUCCCGGGUUCAGGCCCCGCCCCUGCCCCGCCCAUCCUAUGCUCUCAGUCACUCCCGGCCUUUCCGCCCGCAACCCGCCCCUUUGCCCCGGUCCGCCCAGGCCCCGCCCCCAGCCGCCGGCGCCGUUUACUGCGCGGGCAGUUUCUUGCAAACCCGGAAGCAGAUCUCUUGGAGUGAAGGCUGUUCCUCGCCGCGAGUUUCUUAGCCCUGCAUCUUUUCUGGUGCAGUGGGCGGCAGAGGAUCAUCUUUCCACAGGGUAG
Molecule: long non-coding RNA, 512 nt
Filed under: Rhinopithecus bieti (black snub-nosed monkey)
Lineage: Eukaryota; Metazoa; Chordata; Mammalia; Primates; Cercopithecidae
Description: lncRNA (ENSRBIG00000046037.1)
Source: RNAcentral